CAAAAGCGUAUAUUAAAGUUGUUGCAGUUAAAAAGCUCGUAGUUGAACCUUGGGCUUGGCUGGCCGGUCCAUCUUUUUUGAUGCGUACUGGACCCAGCCGAGCCUUUCCUUCUGGCUAGCCUUUUGGCGAACCAGGACUUUUACUUUGAAAAAAUUAGAGUGUUCAAAGCAGGCCUUUGCUCGAAUAUAUUAGCAUGGAAUAAUAGAAUAGGACGUUAUGGUUCUAUUUUGUUGGUUUCUAGGACCAUCGUAAUGGUUAAUAGGGACGGUCGGGGGUAUCAGUAUUCAGUUGUCAGAGGUGAAAUUCUUGGAUUUACUGAAGACUAACUACUGCGAAAGCAUUUACCAAGGACGUUUUCAUUAA
This 364-nucleotide ribosomal RNA is filed under the name uncultured eukaryote. RNAcentral's name for it is "partial 18S ribosomal RNA". It matches the Rfam family "Eukaryotic small subunit ribosomal RNA", at positions 592 to 976 of the family's 1831-position model. The record is from RNAcentral.